Molecule: long non-coding RNA, 1540 nt
Filed under: Carassius auratus (goldfish)
Lineage: Eukaryota; Metazoa; Chordata; Actinopteri; Cypriniformes; Cyprinidae
Description: lncRNA (ENSCARG00000059662.1)
Source: RNAcentral
UUUAAUUUCACCCUCGUGUCAUUCCAAACCUGCAGUACUUUCUUGUUUUGUGUUAUGUGCUCUUCAGGACAAAGAUGGCAACAGUGAAAGUGAGAAGUUACAGAGACUCUAUCUGCAGAAGCAACAACAACAUGGAAGUUCAAGGCAUCAGCUGGCCACACUUCUGAAAGAGCUGGAGCUUCUUGAAACACCACUGGCAGCGCAAGGACAGCACAAGGCCAAGCAUCAGACGCAGGAAGCCCACAGAGCGGCCAUCAGCUGGUGGAGAGGUCAGACUAAAGAGGGCAAGAAGAACCAGGCUUCCCAAGUUCCACAAGAAACUGUGACGGACAUUCAAAGCCUGGACGUCAAUCACACCAGGCCAGCCCAGCUGGAAGAGGCUAAGUGUGGCAUGAAGGUGCUUCUCAAAGACCAGGGAACAAGCACCUGUGACGACGCUCAGAUUCAGUUCAGGGAUGUGGCUGUGGUCACUGAUUCAUCGGCAGAGCGUUUGGCUGCAGAAGAGCUGCUGAAGUCUCUGAGGAAAGUGGAGGACGUGGUUUCGCAGGCCUUGCGGGCAGCUCAGGUGCUCACGGGCAGCGAGAAGAGGAUAAAGGAGAGGAUAGAGGCCAUCAGCAUGAGGGUGGAGAGAGCACUGAGCAGAGCUGAAGCUACUGAGAGUCAGCUCCGUGCCCUGGAGGCCACCAUCUCUUCUAACACACAGGUAAGGACCGGUUUUAGGAAAAUAGCAUUAAUUAUCAAAUUCUCUUAUGCAGCUAUAAUAUAGUAUAAUUCAGAAUUAUUUUUUUUUUAAUUCAGAAUCUUUCUAUCAUUAUGAAUGACAUCACAUUUGAUCAGUUUAAUUCAUCCUUUCUGAAUAAAAGCAUUUUUCUUGAUCUUUCUUCCCCUGAAUUUUUAAAUAGUAGUGUAUCAUGGUUUCCACAAAAUAUUAAGCAUUAAAAAAAAUGUAAAUAAAAAAGUGACAGUAAAUGCAUUCAUUAUCUUACAAAAUAUUUAUUCAUUUUUAAAUAAAUGCUUUUCUUUUGAACUUUGUAUUUAUCCAAGAUUCCAGAAAAAAAAAAUGUAUCAGGAGUUGUGGCUGUUAAAAUUUCAGUUUUACAUGACAGGAAUAAUUAAGUUUUAUAAUAUUUCCAAAUAGAAAACAGUUGUUGUAAACUGUCCUAUAUUUCACAAUAUUAUGAUUUAACAAAUUUUUCAUCAAAUAAAUGCAGCCUUGUUGAGCAUAAAAGAUUAAGAAAAUCUUAUUUGUUCUGGAUAUUUGACUACUACUAUGUUCGUACAGUAUAUAUAACCUGAUAGCAUGAUGCUAUAAUUGAUCUAACAUGUUGUUUGUAUUGUUCUAGUCGUUCUGUAUGUCUCAAUCUAUGGCCAGUGGGCUCCUGGUGGAUUGUAGCUUUUCCACACCCGAACCUGUCGCUCAGGAGAGCAUCCUCACUCCACUUUCAUCUGAAAAUGGUAUGAUUUACUUCAAAAGUUACUAAGACAUUUCAGACGACUCUGAAGUUCAUUUGUAUGAUGGCAACUUUUGGUAACAUUUUAU